UACGGGAGAGGCAAGCGUUGUUCGGAAUUAUUGGGCUUAAAGGGCGUGUAGGCUGCCUGGUAAGUACUUUGUGAAAUCCCCCGGCUUAACCGGGGACGUGCUUGGUAUACUGCUGGGCUUGAGGCAGGUAGAGGUGCCUGGAACUCUAGGUGGAGCGGUGAAAUGCGUUGAUAUCUAGGGGAAUGCCGGUGGCGAAAGCGGGGCACUGGGCCUGACCUGACGCUGAGACGCGAAAGCGUGGGGAUCAAACGGG
This 253-nucleotide ribosomal RNA is filed under the name uncultured bacterium. Its description in RNAcentral is "partial 16S ribosomal RNA". It matches the Rfam family "Bacterial small subunit ribosomal RNA", at positions 524 to 776 of the family's 1533-position model. The record is from RNAcentral.